Molecule: small nuclear RNA, 105 nt
Organism: Neogale vison (American mink)
Lineage: Eukaryota; Metazoa; Chordata; Mammalia; Carnivora; Mustelidae
Source: RefSeq, a predicted model, not a curated record
GCUUACUUCAUUAGUGUUUACAUUAAAAUUGGAACAAUACAGAGAAGAUUAGCGCAGUCCCUGCAUAAGGAUAACAUGCAAAUUCAUGAAGUGUUCCAUAUAUAA